AAAGCUCGUAGUUGGAUUUCUGUCGAGGACGGUCGGUCCACACUUUGUGUGAGUAUCUGAUUCGGCCUUGGCAUCCUCUGGGGGAACGUCUCUGCGCUUGAUUGCGUGGGGCGGUAUUCCAGACUUUUACUUUGAGGAAAUUAGAGUGUUCACGGCAGGCAAACGCCUUGAAUACAUUAGCAUGGAAUAAUAAUAUAGGAUCUCGGUUCUAUUUUGUUGGUUUCUAGAGCUGAGGUAAUGAUUAAUAGGGAUAAUUGGGGGCAUUCGUAUUAACACGUCAGAGGUGGAAUUCUUGGAUUGUGUUACGACGAACUACUGCGAAAGCAUUUGCCAAGGAUGUUUUCAUUGAUCAAGAACGAAAGUUAGGGGAUCGAAGACGCUUAGAUACCGUCGUAGUCUUAACCAUAAACUAUGCCAACUAGAGAUUGGAGGUCGUUCUUUUUUUGACUCCUUCAGCACCUUAUGAGAAAUCAAAGUCUUUGGGUUCCGGGGGGAGUAUGGUCGCAAGGCUGAAACUUAAAGGAAUUGACGGAAGGGCACCACCAGGAGUGGAGCCUGCGGCUUAAUUUGACUCAACACGGGAAAACUUACCAGGUCCAGACAUAGUGAGGAUUGACAGAUUGAUAGCUCUU
Molecule: ribosomal RNA, 632 nt
Filed under: uncultured marine eukaryote
Lineage: Eukaryota
Description: SSU rRNA
Rfam family: Eukaryotic small subunit ribosomal RNA
Source: RNAcentral